UAAGCGGAGGACAAGAAACUAACCAGGAUUUCCCUAGUAACGGCGAGCGAACCGGAAAGAGCCCAGCUUGAAAAUCGGGGCGCCUUGCGCCCCGAAUUGUAGUCUGGAGAAGGUCCCUCUGCGACGCGCCGGACCCAAGUUCCCUGGAAAGGGACGUCCGAGAGGGUGAGAGCCCCGUCGAGUCCGGAGUUCGUCGCUCCACGAGAACCUGUCUGCGAGUCGGACUGUUUGGGAAUGCAGUCCUAAGUGGGAGGUAAAUUCCUUCCAAGGCUAAAUAUUGGCAGGAGACCGAUAGCGAACAAGUACCGCGAGGGAAAGAUGAAAAGGACUUUGAAAAGAGAGUUAAAAGUGCUUGAAAUUGCUGGGAGGGAAGCGAAUGGAAGCUGCGGGUGCGCCCCGGUUGAAUGUGGAACGGCUCGCGCUGGUCCGCCACUCAACGCGGGGCGCUGGUCAGCGUGGGCUGCCGCGGCGGGACAAGUGCGGGGAAUCGUUCUCCGCCCCAUGCCGUUGCGGCGGCCGAGGAACGAAGCGCGCGCUGUCAAAGGCGUGGUCUCGGCCAACUGCGCGCUCGGGACGCUGGCGUAUUGAGCUCUUCAUCCGACCCGUCUUGAAACACGGACCAAGGAGUCUAACAUGUAUGCGAGCCGGUGGGCGGCAAACCCAUUGAGGCGCAAGGAACCUGACAGGUGGGAGCCCGCUGAGGGCGCACCAUCGACCGACCGUGAUCUUCUGUGAAAGGUUUGAGUGUGAGCACACAUGUUGGGACCCGAAAGAUGGUGAACUAUGCCUGAGCAGGGCGAAGCCAGAGGAAACUCUGGUGGAGGCUCGUAGCGAUACUGACGUGCAAAUCGUUCGUCAGACUUGGGUAUAGGGGCGAAAGACUAAUCGAACCAUCUAGUAGCUGGUUCCCUCCGAAGUUUCCCUCAGGAUAGCUGGAGCUCGUGUACAAGUUUUAUCAGGUAAAGCGAAUGAUUAGAGGCAUCGGGGGUGUAACACCCUCGACCUAUUCUCAAACUUUAAAUAGGUAAGCCGCCGGGGUUGCUUGGUUGAACCCCGGCACAGAAUGAGAGCUCCAAGUGGGCCAU
RNAcentral lists this ribosomal RNA (1085 nucleotides) under Plagiobryum zieri. RNAcentral's name for it is "eukaryotic LSU rRNA". It matches the Rfam family "Eukaryotic large subunit ribosomal RNA", at positions 47 to 1134 of the family's 3401-position model. Lineage: Eukaryota; Viridiplantae; Streptophyta; Bryopsida; Bryales; Bryaceae. The record is from RNAcentral.